CCCGUAACCAUCACCCGCUGGAACUCUCUCCAGUUCACGUUUUGUAAUGUCCCAGCCAACCCAUUGUUCUGGAGAAUAAAUGUGUUUGGCCCCACGUAUUUGGACUCACGUCUCCCGUUUCCGACAAUGAGGGACGUUAAGAGAGCUUGAAGUCGUGAGUGAUAAUCAGUCGAAUCAACAGCCGCCUAGUGUGCAAUUGAUAGAAGUCCAAAUGGGUUCGUUCAGCUAGUCGUCGCCAUCUAGUUAUAAUUAUGCCAUAGGUCGCUAACUGGAAACUCCUGUUCGAUGACUGCUCGCAACUUGUAACUGAGUUCGAACCACUCUCUGUUCAAUGGUUCGAGCUGGAUUGUUCUUUCUCUAUUUUCUUUCUUCAGGCUAAACAAGAGUGUUUUCGGAUGGAAAAAGGUAAUGAACGAAAAAAUAUAGAGGACUC
RNAcentral lists this small RNA (433 nucleotides) under Histoplasma capsulatum. RNAcentral's name for it is "hypothetical RNA". Lineage: Eukaryota; Fungi; Ascomycota; Eurotiomycetes; Onygenales; Ajellomycetaceae. RNAcentral also lists the same sequence under 1 other name. The record is from RNAcentral.